This 478-nucleotide ribosomal RNA is filed under the name uncultured bacterium. RNAcentral's name for it is "partial 16S ribosomal RNA". It matches the Rfam family "Bacterial small subunit ribosomal RNA", at positions 28 to 507 of the family's 1533-position model. The record is from RNAcentral.
GACGAACGCUGGCGGCGUGCUUAACACAUGCAAGUCGAACGGGAUUUAGUAGACAGAAGCCUCGGCUAAAGAUUACUAAUGAGAGUGGCGAACGGGUGAGUAACGCGUGAGCAACCUGCCUAUGACAGUGGGAUAGCCUCGGGAAACCGGGAUUAAUACCGCAUAAAAUCGUAGAAACACAUGUUUUAACGGUCAAAGAUUUAUCGGUCAUAGAUGGGCUCGCGUCUGAUUAGCUAGUUGGUGAGAUAACAGCCCACCAAGGCGACGAUCAGUAGCCGGUCUGAGAGGAUGAACGGCCACAUUGGAACUGAGACACCGUCCAAACUCCUACGGGAGGCAGCAGUGGGGAAUAUUGCACAAUGGGGGAAACCCUGACGCAGCGACGCCGCGUGAACGAAGAAGGUAUUCGUAUCGUAAAGUUCUGUACUAUGGGAAGAUAAUGACAGUACCAUAGAAGAAAGCCCCGGCUAAAUACGUG